CUGGUUGAUCCUGCCAGAGGUUACUGCUAUCGAGAUUCGACUAAGCCAUGCGAGUCGAAUGUUCUUCGUGAACAUGGCGAACUGCUCAGUAACACGUGGACAACCUACCCUUGGGUUCGGCAUAAUCCUGGGAAACUGGGGAUAAUACCGGAUAGGUCACAGCUGCUGGAAUGCACUGUGGCUCAAAGCUCCGGCGCCCAAGGAUGGGUCUGCGGCCUAUCAGGGUUGUAGUGGGUGUAAUGUACCUACUAGCCUACGACGGGUACGGGUUGUGAGAGCAAGAGCCCGGAGAUGGAUUCUGAGACACGAAUCCAGGCCCUACGGGGUGCAGCAGGCGCGAAAACUUUGCAAUGCGGGAAACCGUGAUAAGGGAAUCUCGAGUGCCAGCAUAUAAUGUUGGCUGUCCAGAUGCCUAAAAAGCAUCUGUUAGCAAGGGCCGGGCAAGACCGGUGCCAGCCGCCGCGGUAACACCGGCGGCCCGAGUGGUAACCGCUAUUAUUGGGUCUAAAGGGUCUGUAGCCGGCCAGGUAAGUCCCUUGGGAUAUCUGGCAGCUCAACUGUCAGGCUGCUAGGGGAUACUGUUUGGCUUGGGACCGGGAGAGGUGAGAGGUACCUUGGGGGUAGGGGUGAAAUCUUGUGAUCCUCGGGGGACCACCAGUGGCGAAGGCGUCUCACCAGAACGGGUCCGACGGUAAGGGACGAAAGCUAGGGGCACGAACCGGAUUAGAUACCCGGGUAGUCCUAGCCGUAAACGAUGCUCGCUAGGUGUCAGUCACGGUGCGACCGUGAUUGGUGCCGUAGGGAAGCCGUGAAGCGAGCCACCUGGGAAGUAUGGCCUCAAGGCUUGAAACUUAAAGGAAUUGGCGGGGGAGCACUAC
This 878-nucleotide ribosomal RNA is filed under the name uncultured archaeon. RNAcentral's name for it is "bacterial SSU rRNA". It matches the Rfam family "Archaeal small subunit ribosomal RNA", at positions 4 to 882 of the family's 1478-position model. The record is from RNAcentral.